RNAcentral lists this long non-coding RNA (1327 nucleotides) under Salmo salar (Atlantic salmon). RNAcentral describes it as "lncRNA (ENSSSAG00000089309.1)". The record is from RNAcentral. Lineage: Eukaryota; Metazoa; Chordata; Actinopteri; Salmoniformes; Salmonidae.
CUUCAACUGAGAGGGGUCGCUGUCCCCUGAAACAUGGACCAAGAUCUAUCCACUUCAACUGAGAGGGGUCGCUGUCCACUGAAACAUGGACCAAGGUCCAGUCUUCUUGCCCCUUAAAUAUUGUCAUACUUGAUGAGGACUCAUCCUCUUCCAUGGUAGGUGAUCUGCAGAGAAGAGAUGACUAAGCCUUGCUCACACUGUAGGCCUUAAUGUUCAAAUCAGUUUUGUAUUUUAAAUCCCUUUUUCGGAAUACUGGUUUUCCAAACAUCAACUUACAAGUGACCAAAUCGGAUCUUCUGUGUGUGUUCAGACAGUUAUUUGUUGGCACGGCUACGCUAGUUGUCAUAGUAACGACGGGUGUGUGCGCAAUGGUGUAGGCUGAUUGGUGGCGCUCGACGAGCAGGUGUCCGCAUACUUUUGGUCAUGCAGUGUAUUUCCCUCAGAUUACACAGACCCACAAAGAAUUAGAAAACAAACUUUACAUUAAAACAUAAGAAAUUAUAUACAUAUCUCAAUAUACUUAUUUUCUAAAAAUCACACUCUUACUAAAUAUGAUUUUUUUGUAACAGAAAAAUUACAGACAAACUCACGUCAAACUCUGUAGCUCUCACCGGCCACAGAGGAGAUAGUCCUGUCCAGCCCUCUCUCCAUCUCUCACGAUCAGAGGGUUACUGGUAUCAAUGGCUACCACAUACCGCUGGAAGAGGGAGGGAGAGAGGGAGAGAGAGCAAGAGAGAGGGGUUGGGGAGAGAGAGUCAGUCACUCUGCACCGUCUGUAUUAGUAUUAGUCUGUAUUAGUAUGUCUAUAUUAGUAUUAGUCUGUAUUAGUAUUAGUCUGUAUUAGUAUUAGUCUGUAUUAGUAUUAGUCUAUAUUAAUAUGUCUAUAUUAGUAUUAGUCUGUAUUAGUAUUAGUCUGUAUUAGUAUUAGUCUAUAUUAAUAUGUCUAUAUUAGUAUUAUUCUGUAUUAGUAUUAGUCUGUAUUAGUAUUAGUCUGUAUUAGUAUGUCUAUAUUAGUAUUAGUCUGUAUUAGUAUUAGUCUGUAUUAGUAUUAGUCUAUAUUAAUAUGUCUAUAUUAGUAUUAUUCUGUAUUAGUAUUAGUCUGUAUUAGUAUUAGUCUGUAUUAGUAUUAGUCUAUAUUAAUAUGUCUAUAUUAGUAUUAUUCUGUAUUAGUAUUAGUCUGCAUUCGUAUUAGUAUUAGUCUGUAUUAGUAUUAGUCUGUAUUAGUAUUAGUAUGGUAUUAGUAUUAGUCUGUAUUAGUAUUAGUCUGUAUUAGUAUUAGUCUGUAUUAGUAUUAGUAUUAGUCUGUAUUAGUAUUAGUCUAUAUUAG